RNAcentral lists this ribosomal RNA (572 nucleotides) under uncultured bacterium. RNAcentral describes it as "partial 16S ribosomal RNA". It matches the Rfam family "Bacterial small subunit ribosomal RNA", at positions 355 to 919 of the family's 1533-position model. The record is from RNAcentral.
UGGGGAAUUUUGGACAAUGGGCGCAAGCCUGAUCCAGCCAUGCCGCGUGCGGGAAGAAGGCCUUCGGGUUGUAAACCGCUUUUGUCAGGGAAGAAAUCUUCUGAGUUAAUACCUCGGGAGGAUGACGGUACCUGAAGAAUAAGCACCGGCUAACUACGUGCCAGCAGCCGCGGUAAUACGUAGGGUGCAAGCGUUAAUCGGAAUUACUGGGCGUAAAGCGUGCGCAGGCGGUUUUGUAAGACAGAGGUGAAAUCCCCGGGCUCAACCUGGGAACUGCCUUUGUGACUGCAAGGCUUGAGUGCGGCAGAGGGGGAUGGAAUUCCGCGUGUAGCAGUGAAAUGCGUAGAUAUGCGGAGGAACACCGAUGGCGAAGGCAAUCCCCUGGGCCUGCACUGACGCUCAUGCACGAAAGCGUGGGGAGCAAACAGGAUUAGAUACCCUGGUAGUCCACGCCCUAAACGAUGUCAACUGGUUGUUGGGAAGGUUCCUUCUCAGUAACGUAGCUAACGCGUGAAGUUGACCGCCUGGGGGAGUACGGCCGCAAGGUUGAAACUCAAAUGAAUUGACGGGGG